This is a long non-coding RNA of Ictalurus punctatus (channel catfish), 404 nucleotides long. RefSeq lists it as uncharacterized. Lineage: Eukaryota; Metazoa; Chordata; Actinopteri; Siluriformes; Ictaluridae. The transcript has 2 exons. The record is from RefSeq and is a predicted model, not a curated record.
CAAGCAACAAACAAACACAUUUUUAUUUCUUCAAUUCAGUUCCAUCCAGAUGGAGCUUUAGAUCCCCAAUGAACAAGCUGGAGAUGAGAGCAACAAGUAAGACACGAGGAAGAAACCUUUAGAAGAGCCGAACUUAAAAGCCAAGUCAUGGUCUGUCCAUCUUGCUGUCGUUGCUAGUCUCACCGGAGUCCCUGCUUUCACUCACGCAAAGAGUUUGUUCAGAUCCAGCGAUGAAGCGCGAGAGUGUGUUUUCUGAGGACGUGGUGGAGGAGUUGGGGGCUCUUCUGAUUUCUUCAUAGCGUCGUCUAUAGAGGUGCUGGAGUAAGACCUGUGAAUCACACACACACACAUAUAUGUAAAGAGUAUAUCAUGAACCAGGGCAUCUAAUAAAAACUUUUACUAUA